GGCUUAUUGAAUUAUAAUUUUAAGUCUAUCUGCCCAAUGAUGUUUAAAUUUAAUGGCUGCAGUAUAACUAACUGUACAAAGGUAGCAUAAUCAAUUGUUUUUUAAUUAAAAACUGGAAUGAAAGAAUUAAUGAGAUAUAUACUGUCUCAUAUAUAUAUUAUAAAAUUAAAUUUUUAGUAAAAAUGCUAAAAUUUAUUUAUGGGACGAUAAGACCCUAUAGAAUUUUAUAUUAAUAUUAUAAUUAUAAUUAAUUUUUAAUAUUAAUAUUUAAUUGGGAGGAUUGGUAAAUUUGCAUAACUUUAUUUUAAAUUAAAACUUUAAUAUAAGAAUAUUUUUGACCUUUUAUUAUAAAUUAAAAGAAUAAAUUACCUUAGGGAUAACAGCGUAAUAUCUUUUUAAAGAUCAUAUUAAUAAAGAUGAUUGCGACCUCGAUGUUGAAUUAAGAUAAAUUUUAAAUGGAGAAAUUUAAUAAUUAAGUCUGUUCGACUUUUAAUAUCUUACAUGAUUUGAGUUCAAAUCGACGUAAGU
This 528-nucleotide ribosomal RNA is filed under the name Bombus balteatus. RNAcentral's name for it is "partial 16S ribosomal RNA". The stretch from base 376 to 528 matches the Rfam family "Bacterial large subunit ribosomal RNA", at positions 2473 to 2626 of the family's 2925-position model. The record is from RNAcentral. Lineage: Eukaryota; Metazoa; Arthropoda; Insecta; Hymenoptera; Apidae.